CACACACACACACACACACACACACACACACACACACACACAGAGCAAUGUCAGGGUUAGCUGAUGUCUGUGAGUCAACACAAUCUUACAUUUGCUCAGCAACCGGUGUGUUCUUGUGCGGAUUGAACCUAGGAUUUGUAACUGGCUGGUGAUGCAGAGUGGAAAACGGAAUCACUGUAAACAGAGCAUGAGGAAACUCUUCGUGCGCUGAUGCAGAAUAAUCUCGUGGAGACCGAACAUGGUUAAGUGAAACAAGGAUGUGUGGAGAAUGAAUUGAGAUAGGAAGAUCAGCUAAGAAGCAAUAGCGGUGAUUCAGGUAAGAAUGAAUGGGACUCAAAUUAGGGCAGUAGCUGUGGGAAUACAAGGAGGGGAUACACAGGAGGGGAAGAUGGUGACCACCGGGACCACCCUCGAGUUCGAGGGUAAGGGAGGCAGGGAGGAUGUAAGGGUCCCCAAGACGGGGUAUGAAAAGGAAGAAGUUUGCAGGAAGACAAUGAGCUUAGCUUGGGACCUGUAGUUAUUUGGGGCUUGCAGAAGAUUCCGGAAUCCUUUAGGGAUUUGUUGGAUGCUGAGUCUAGGGAUGGGGAAGCGGUCUGGGCCACAGGGAUUUGGGAGCCUUGCCCUGGGCAGGGGCAGAUGAAAGUCCAAGGUAGAGCGUGGAGUGGAAUGACAGGGACACCCAGGCCAAACCCAGGCACUCCCCCCACCCAGUCCCAUUCAGGAGACACCAAGAGGAAGGCGAUUCUGUAAACGAUUAAGAGGAGUCAGAACGGGGACCCAGGGAGUCUUACGAGGGCUUGGUUUGGAUUUUGACACAAGGUGUUGCUGUGCCGCCCAGGCCCAAGGGGUCCUCCCUCUUCACCCCCAGGUCACUGGGACUUCGGCCUGCACCGCUGCGCCCAUCCAGGUCUCGGCACACAGUGGAGCCGCCCGCCCUCGGAAACAGCACCCAGACGGGCGAGCAGAGCGCUUCCCAUCCAGAGCUGGUCUGCAGCCCUCGCUGUGCCCUCCAUCCACCUCCUCGAGGACUCCACUUCGCUCUGCCAGUUUGAGGUCCUAGUUCAUCCAAGCUGGGAUCCCCACGGAGAACCAUGGGGACAGGAGGGGAGAGGAAGGCUCAGAGAUAGAAGCACACACCAAGCACCCAUGGGCAUCAGCAGCCCUCACAACCCUUAAGUACUGACAACACAUAGGAAUGGUUAUGGCCCCUCAGGCAUCUGCAAACAAGGCGGAGCUGUGAGGAGUUGGGUGGACACUGGGCAGCAGGGAGGGCCAGGCCACUCCACCGCACAUGCAGUGCUCAGAGCUGAGAAGAGCCCAUCGCAUCCCACCACCCAAACUUGCACUCGGAGGCCAUCUGCUCACACUUAACCUAAUCACUCCAGACAGUUUUUCUGAAAAGCGUCAUGAAGACCUUCAGCAUGAAGCACCCACCAGUGCCUUAAACUCCUGCCCCAGGGCUAAAUCACACCAUGAGAGCUUCUCUUCUUCUCCCAGCACACGCAAGGUCCUGAGUUGGAUCCCUAUGACCAUCAAAUCAAAAUAGCUGGCCUCAGACGGUUUCCAGUGGCUCAUCCUGCCCGGAGCACAGACACUAAAUGUUAACAUCCAGUUGUCUGCACUUAGCUCCUGGUGCCAGGUGACUGCCCCAGGGCUCCCUCUGGGAGUGAUUGUCUUUUCUUCAAUGAUGCCAGUCAACCACCUGGCAAAACAUCAUGCUGGUGACAGGAAAGGGAAUUCACUUCAUUCCUCCAGCAUGGAUGGAGGACCCACGACCGAACACCAGACCUGGGCCAGAGCCUGCGGCGUGGAGCUGAGUAAUCAACCCCUGCCCACUGGGGAUUCUCAGGUCUGGGGGGAGAGGCAGACAUGAAAACAAACACGUCCUGUACAGUGCCAUUAGUCUUGUACCAGCCGCCUCGGGAGCCCAGAGUAACGAACACCAUCUGGGGGGUUCCCAGGGGACUCAGGGAAGGCCUUACUGCACGGGUGCCUCUGAGCGGAGGUCUGCAAGGAUGACUGAAAGCUUCCAAGCAGGAUAAGACAAGGGAAAGAAUUAAUUCUCCUCAGAAGGAACCACCUGUGGAAAAGCAGAGAGGUGAAGAAGGACACGGCGUGUCUCAGAAACAAACGGCAAGGUAGCAGAGGUCCAGACAGGAGCCCAAGCAAGUAAAGUGGGCAACUUCACCCCAGCCAUCGCCCCUCAGAGCUCUAGCUCCACAGCUCCUGUGUAAGCAGUGUUAUCUUUCUAUGUAGAGAUCAUGUCUGUUGUGUGGGUGUUCCAGGUCCACGAUUAUAAGGUACUGAUACAAACUGUCAUCUCAAGGAAUCCAAGUCUUAUGUUUGAAAAAGCCACUGGAAGGGUCAUCUGAAUCUUUAAGCAGUUGUGAUACUCUGAAAUGUGAUUGCUGACUGGAACUGUGAAGAACCUGAUACUUGACAGAGGGGGAACCAGGCCUCAGAGAAGUGAAGGGGCCACCCACCCUCAACAUGGCGGGAUAAGCCACACCCAGCUCUCCAUACCAACCAUGCCAAACUUCCUUUCCUUCCUUUUUCCCCUUCAGGUGCCCGGGCCAGUGUUCUUCACUCAAUGGACACACAAUAAUUCUGAUUAUUUUAUCCUCUCCAGAAAAAAAUAAAAAUAAAAAUUAGUCAUAGGGCUUGACUGAACUUUCUAGAAACUUCCAGAACCAAUUCUUUCCCAUGUAAGCACUUGCUACGCAUAGGCAAAAUGAAUUGAAGCUUCUCAGAGAACUCCAGGAUAAGUUGGUCUCAUAUUCACAAGCCUUAUGCACAAGCCUUAUAA
Long non-coding RNA from Heterocephalus glaber (naked mole-rat), 2806 nucleotides. Lineage: Eukaryota; Metazoa; Chordata; Mammalia; Rodentia; Bathyergidae. The record is from Ensembl.